RNAcentral lists this long non-coding RNA (464 nucleotides) under Vigna radiata. RNAcentral describes it as "long non-coding RNA (VRAD_LNC015664)". Lineage: Eukaryota; Viridiplantae; Streptophyta; Magnoliopsida; Fabales; Fabaceae. The record is from RNAcentral.
GUGAACGUGUUACUUGCUAUCCAUUAGAAAAGAAAAAUGCCAGCUUUGUUUAUAAAAUAAAAAUCAACGUCUCUAGCAAAGGAAGCAAUAAAAUGCUUGAAAUAAAAGAGCAUAAAACCCAAAUUGAAAAGGGAUAGCAUCUCAUUCAUGUAAAUAAAUUCAAGAACUCAUCCUCCUACAACGUUAACAGCAAAACUCGAAAAAAACACAAGUGGCGGCUGCUGGAUGUUCCAGCCCCCCUUUUCCUUCCAACUCAUGGUUUUUUUUAAACCCUCGUGUGCCAAGCUGGAUGUUGGAACAUGUGUUGCUGCCCAAGCUGCUGGAUGUCACCCUUUGCAUCUUCGCACCAAGUCCAAAAUGAAUGAGUGCUGCACCUUUUCAAUUGAAUUGAAUCAGCCUUCCAAUUCUUGUCCGAGACCUGCUUGCUGGACAUGUCUUCUCCCAACGCUGGACCUUGCUUUUGC